UGCUGAGCCAUCUAAAAAAAAAAAAUUUAGAGACCGCAAAUCGAGGACUGGUUCUGUGGACAGUAGAUUCUAUACUUCCUUAGACGAAUCAACCUCCACCUGACGCCAGCGAGUAGGAUACAGCAGGCAUUUCCUUACAAGUGCACAUAGGGGGAGACAGCUCUAUAGAAGUAGAUGCAGCAUCUCGAGGAUUGCUCCAAAGAAAUAAGGCAGUCUGAUUCACAGGUUGUUUUGAUGAAAGUGAACGGGGGAACGGGUCACUCAGUGAGAAGCGAGCCUCCUCUUCUCAUUCUGUGGACUACAUGUCAGCCACGCAAACAUCAGCUCAUUCCGUCUGAAGAAAGGCUGCAGGGCUAUCUAUGAAGUGAACGAAGGAGUUUACGGUGUUUGGCUGGCAUAAUCCAGCCUUUAUUAUACCCCCAGUUGUUCUUCCAGCCCUGGGCUGUUCCUGAUUGUUUCUCUCAAGUUGGGGGUGUGAAUGCAGAAUGUCCAAGAGGGGCAAAGGGGGUGACAGAAGAGAAGUGGUCUGGGGGCUGCAUAUUACCCCUGCCGUCAAAGGGAAGCAAAGUCAGCAAUUGGUGUUGAUGACGCUGCACUGGCAGUAAGAGAGCCAAUCACAUCUUUCCUGCCCCUGGCAGCUGAAACCUCAUUUCUGCAUUUAUCCCAACGCAGGCUAAGACAAGGAUGGAAUGCAGGCGAUAUAGAAGAGGAGAAAAAGGCACCAAAAGCACAGCACUUGAUAAGCAUCAUUAACUGAUUUCAUUGAAAAGGAACCAGAAAAGCAUCAGCCUCUGCUAGCUGUGGACUCUUAAAACUCACACCGCCUGCUCUGCUUUAAUAACUCCUCUGCCGGAUUUAAGAAAAAAAAAAAAGAAAAGAAAAGCUUGAGAGGGGGGAGAUUUGAAAGGGGGGGAGGGAAUGUGAAGCAGCCAAUGCAACUUAGCUGGAAGCUUUGAGCAUUAACCCCUAGAGGGAAAGAAAAGGAGGGGUGGGAGGGGGGCUGUGUGAAUACAUAGGAGCACUGCAUCACGCUAAUGUUCUCCUCAGAACAGUAUGCGUCAGCAGUACAUCCACGUUCUGACUGAAGGACGAAAGGAUGAGAGAGCACCCUGGCUGGUUGGCUGCUGCUGGCAACACAAGGCAAACAGGGAGAGAGGAGGACUAUUAACAAAUGAAAAUGCUGCGAGGCUCCGAUACCACUGCUGCCUGCUCUCCUGCUGCUAAAAACACUGGGAAAGAAAUUACAAGCAAAUCCGGGAGAACACCACAACUCGUUACCUCAUAACAAAAGGCGCUACAGCGGGACUUCCACACGGCAGCAGAAGAGAGGCUGAGAAAGCCAGUCCCUUCCGCAGACCCACCUGAAACCAAGGGCUCAGCAUUGAGAUAUGGACGGAUUAUUGCUAAGUGUGCAAGGAGCAAGCUACAGCUGCUGCAUCCACAGCUUGAGAAGCUAGUUAUAAAAAAGAAGAAAAGGGAGAGAAAAGCCAGCAAGGAGGGAAACGAGAGGAAAAACAGUCAAUGCCUGCAAUGUGCUGCUUUUCUCUUUGUACAAAUCAGAAUCCUGCAGACAGUGUGUGAAUCGCAUGGAUACCAAAUAUUAAGAGACCAAGAGAACAGAGAGACACCCGCAAGGGAAGCCAGAAGGGAGCAUUUGGAGUUUCCCCCUUUUCUCAUCUUUCCUUUUGAAUCGCCCUAAAAUAACGUAUUCCAGCUUGCUUCAGAAAUGGAUCUUCCGUCUUCUUGUGCUGGAGACAGUAGUGGAAUCCAAGGACGAAUAUCUCAACUGCAAAAGGCACUUGUCCCAGGGGAGCGGCAAAAUGAUGCACCUGCAUAGGCAAGUGGGCCUCACCCCCUCGUUAUAUUUCCCUUAAUGUUGGUUUUUCUUUUUCUGGUGUUGGAUUACCUAAAGGAGCCAUUUUGUCUUUCAGUCAGCCCCCCUCCCACUAAAGCCCUGUUACCUUAUCUAUUUUU
Molecule: long non-coding RNA, 1974 nt
Organism: Spea bombifrons (plains spadefoot toad)
Lineage: Eukaryota; Metazoa; Chordata; Amphibia; Anura; Pelobatidae
Exons: 2
Source: RefSeq, a predicted model, not a curated record